RNAcentral lists this ribosomal RNA (552 nucleotides) under uncultured Gammaproteobacteria bacterium. RNAcentral's name for it is "bacterial SSU rRNA". It matches the Rfam family "Bacterial small subunit ribosomal RNA", at positions 1 to 549 of the family's 1533-position model. The record is from RNAcentral. Lineage: Bacteria; Pseudomonadati; Pseudomonadota; Gammaproteobacteria.
UGAGUUUGAUCAUGGCUCAGAUUGAACGCUGGCGGCAGGCCUAACACAUGCAAGUCGAGCGGUAACAGGACUAGCUUGCUAGUUGCUGACGAGCGGCGGACGGGUGCGUAACACGUAGGAAUCUGCCCGGUAGUGGGGGAUAGCCCGGAGAAAUCCGGAUUAAUACCGCAUACGCCUUACGAGGGAAAGGAGGGGCCUCUUCGGAGCCUUUCGCUAUCGGAUGAGCCUGCGUCGGAUUAGCUAGUUGGUGGGGUAAAGGCCUACCAAGGCGACGAUCCGUAGCUGGUCUGAGAGGAUGAUCAGCCACACUGGGACUGAGACACGGCCCAGACCCCUACGGGAGGCAGCAGUGGGGAAUAUUGCACAAUGGGGGAAACCCUGAUGCAGCCAUGCCGCGUGUGUGAAGAAGGCUCUAGGGUUGUAAAGCACUUUCAGCGAGGAGGAAAGGUUGCUGGUUAAUACCCAGCGGCUGUGACGUUACUCGCAGAAGAAGCACCGGCUAACUCCGUGCCAGCAGCCGCGGUAAUACGGAGGGUGCGAGCGUUAAUCGGA